RNAcentral lists this transfer RNA (84 nucleotides) under Schistocephalus solidus. It matches the Rfam family "tRNA". Rfam says of the family: Transfer RNA (tRNA) molecules are approximately 80 nucleotides in length. Their secondary structure includes four short double-helical elements and three loops (D, anti-codon, and T loops). The record is from Rfam by way of RNAcentral. Lineage: Eukaryota; Metazoa; Platyhelminthes; Cestoda; Diphyllobothriidea; Diphyllobothriidae.
GGCCUCGUAGCUCAGUUGGCUAGAGCGUUGGCUGUACUAAAGCCCUCACCCUUACUGGCGUGAGUUCGAAUCUCACCAAGACCA